UACAGAGGUCUCAAGCGUUGUUCGGAUUUACUGGGCGUAAAGGGCGCGCAGGCGGCGCAUUUUGUCAGGCGUGAAAGCCCCGGGCUUAACCUGGGAACUGCGUUUGAUACGGAUGGGCUAGAGUUCGGGAGAGGAGAGUGGAAUUCCACGUGUAGCGGUGAAAUGCGUAGAGAUGUGGAGGAACACCAGUGGCGAAGGCGACUCUUUGGCCUGUAACUGACACUGAGGCGCGAAAGCGUGGGGAGCAAACAGG
This 253-nucleotide ribosomal RNA is filed under the name uncultured bacterium. Its description in RNAcentral is "partial 16S ribosomal RNA". It matches the Rfam family "Bacterial small subunit ribosomal RNA", at positions 524 to 776 of the family's 1533-position model. The record is from RNAcentral.